RNAcentral lists this long non-coding RNA (1363 nucleotides) under Zonotrichia albicollis (white-throated sparrow). Its description in RNAcentral is "lncRNA (ENSZALG00000014079.1)". Lineage: Eukaryota; Metazoa; Chordata; Aves; Passeriformes; Passerellidae. The record is from RNAcentral.
AUGCUGCGUUUCCUGUGUCUGUUUGGCCAAGAGGAGCCCCCGCAGGGAGGGAGCCGCUGCCGGCAGAUGGAGCCGCAGCGCCGGAGCCGCGCACCGCGCCCGCCGCGUCCGGGCCAACCGCCCGCCGCGUCCGGGCCACCCUGGACUGCGGCCAGGGUGCUCCCUGUAACCACGGCGAUCCAGCUGAAAGAACCAGGCUCGCUUUUUCAUCUUUGUACUGUAAGGAGACACAGCAACAACUUAGCCUUGUACAUGACUUCAUACUUCUGUUGUUAUGGUUGUAUUACCAACUUCAUAUUUAUCAAGAACAAUCCCAGGACACAAAUACAAUGCAAAGUCCCUUUUUGUGAUGGUACCAUGUGACAAGAUACACUGGAAAGGUGUGGAAGAACCCAUCAAAUGUCUAAAAGGUGAGGAAGCACCCAUCAAAUGUCUAAAAGGCAGUACCUGCUACCUGUGCUUCCCUUUCUGUUCCUAAUUUGGGCAGUCCUGUGCAGUAUUUCACUUUAAUCUCAAGGGGAGCUCCCACAGCAGAGGGUGCUGCAAUGACCACAGUGCUUGACCCUCAUCACCCCUGCCUGCAGGCAAGGACUCUGCACAGAUUGCUCUGUACAGGGCACUGCUCCCCUCACCCACACCCAGCAGUGAUGCUGAGGUGAAGCUCAGUAGGAAAUAACCUAUUUUGCUCUUCCUUUUGGCAUCUGAUCUGGCUUUUGAAUUUCCUGUGGUUUUGUGCUACACUGGAAGACCUGGAGCAGAGACCAGUGCUAAAUAAGGUGAAUUAUUCCCUCAAGCUGUUGCAGAACUCACUGUCAGAGAAUUACAUCACCACGUGGGACCAUCUGUGGGUGUGCCUGCAGACAGCCAUUACUGGGAACAAUUCUUCCAAGGCAAACAAGACCACAACUCAGGAGCUGACUGCAGUGAGUUGGAAGAUUUGCUGUGAGAAGUUCUUCACUAUGAGGCAAGGCACAAACUAUUUAUUCACCUUACUGCAUUAGUAAAGACUCGCUGUUCUCUACACUGACCUCACACAUGCCUUUUGCUCUGUUGUCUCACUAGGAGUCAGACCAUGAAAUCCCAAAGGACUAUCUUGGGGGAUGUCUGCAGGUUCCCUUACAGCUGCAGGUCCUCAUGGGGAUGAGAAGAAGGUCUCUUCAUAAAAUGCUGUGCUCUACCCCCUGAAACCUCAUGGCUCUUUUGCAGAGCCCAGCAGCAAUCCUGUUGUGAUUUUUAUUUGAGCAAAAUUCACAUUGUACAGUCAGCCUUUAGACAUUUCAGGGGAAAAUUUUCAUUAUUUGGGACAGAAAUGAGGCAUAAAAUCAUUAAUACAUCCUGGCUUUUCCAAAGCAUCUCCUCAUCU